Molecule: unclassified non-coding RNA, 264 nt
Filed under: soil metagenome
Description: partial contains small subunit ribosomal RNA, internal transcribed spacer 1, and 5.8S ribosomal RNA
Source: RNAcentral
UCUCCGUUGGUGAACCAGCGGAGGGAUCAUUAAAGAACAGACCGCCGUCUCUGGCACUGUAAACCCCGUGAACCUUUUACCUACAGACGUUGCCUCGGCGCGCGAGCGGUAGGAGGCAUUCUAGGGGGUCGCCCAGCGCACCCCCUAGCCUGUCGCACCGCCCGCCGCCGGCAGCAGAACAAACGCUCAGAACCACGCUCGGCGCUCUCUGAACUAGAAAUACUAAACGAGUAAAAACUUUUGGCAACGGAUCUCUUGGCUCUG